CAGUAGCCGCGGUAACACGGAGGGUGCAAGCGUUAAUCGGAAUUACUGGGCGUAAAGCGCACGCAGGCGGUUUGUUAAGUCAGAUGUGAAAUCCCCGAGCUUAACUUGGGAACUGCAUUUGAAACUGGCAAGCUAGAGUCUUGUAGAGGGGGGUAGAAUUCCAGGUGUAGCGGUGAAAUGCGUAGAGAUCUGGAGGAAUACCGAUGGCGAAGGCAGCCCCCUGGGCCAAUACUGACGCUCAUGCACGAAAGCGUGGGGAGCAAACAGGAUUAGAUACCCCGGUAGUCCCUGUCUCUUAUAC
This 301-nucleotide ribosomal RNA is filed under the name uncultured bacterium. RNAcentral's name for it is "partial 16S ribosomal RNA". It matches the Rfam family "Bacterial small subunit ribosomal RNA", at positions 509 to 807 of the family's 1533-position model. The record is from RNAcentral.